This 642-nucleotide ribosomal RNA is filed under the name Triticum aestivum (bread wheat). Its description in RNAcentral is "partial small subunit ribosomal RNA". The record is from RNAcentral. Lineage: Eukaryota; Viridiplantae; Streptophyta; Magnoliopsida; Poales; Poaceae.
AUGGAAAAGGACCCGUGUCAUGAUGAACUGACUCUGCAAACGGCUGGUGUUUUCCCUUCUGAAAGCUGUGACGGGGAUAUUCUAGAAGAUAAAUCUGAAACCGACAACCUGACAAAGAAUACUAGAGAAGAUACUGAAAUGUUGGAGCAACAGAAUAGUGAUAAGGCUAACAUACAAGUCAGUUGCGCCAACAAAAUGAGUGAAGUGCUCUAUGAUGAUAAUAACACCUUGGAGAAGAAUACAAUCUGUGGUGGGAAGGUUACUGUAGAGUGCCACUUGGCCUUGUUACACAAUAAAAGUUCAGAAGCUAGGAGUAACGCCAUUUCAUCUCCAAUGCAGAAGAGGCCCUUUGCGUGCCAGAGCCAUGUAAAUGGUUGCACCAUGAGCUAUGACAGUAAGAACAAUUUAGCCAAGCCUUUUAGGGAAGUCCAUGAGCCGAAGAAACGUUUCACACGGAGAUUCGCUGGGUGUCGCGAGGAGUUUUCUUCAAAGAAUGAAAGGAAGAUUCAUGAGGGAUCUAGUGCUCACGUCGAGCUUUCCACCAAUAGGAUUAAUUGUGUCAGCACCUCUCCUGCCGGUGGACCAGAAGCCCAUGAAGAGCCCAGGCCCACACAAGUGGUGGGCCUUCGCACAAGCAACUGA